This 285-nucleotide ribosomal RNA is filed under the name Ctenophora environmental sample. RNAcentral's name for it is "partial Bacterial large subunit ribosomal RNA". It matches the Rfam family "Bacterial large subunit ribosomal RNA", at positions 1392 to 1670 of the family's 2925-position model. The record is from RNAcentral. Lineage: Eukaryota; Metazoa; Ctenophora.
UAAGGCAACCCCGAAAGGGUUAGUCGAUGGACAAUCGGUUAAUAUUCCGAUACCACCAAUAACGCGUUAUUAGCUAAGGGGGGACGCAGUAAGGUAAGCCAUGCCUCUGAUGGAUUAGAGGCUCUAAGCAAGUAGGGGGAUUAUCCAGGUAAAUCCGGAUAGUCUUUAACUCCGAGAUGCGAAUGGGAUUCCCGAGAGGGAGGAACUGGCCCAACUACACUGACGAGAAAAACCUCGUAGUAAGUUUUAUUGGUGACCGUACCGCAAACCGACACAGGUAGACGG